Non-coding RNA from Daphnia pulex (common water flea), 83 nucleotides. Lineage: Eukaryota; Metazoa; Arthropoda; Branchiopoda; Diplostraca; Daphniidae. The record is from the annotation of a RefSeq genome assembly.
GUCAGGAUGGCCGAGCGGUCUAAGCCGCCAGACUCAGGUUCUGAUCUUCUAUGAAGGCGUGGGUUCAAAUCCCAUUCCUGACA